GACGAACGCUGGCGGCGUGCCUAAUACAUGCAAGUAGAACGCUGAAGGAGGAGCUUGCUUCUCUGGAUGAGUUGCGAACGGGUGAGUAACGCGUAGGUAACCUGCCUGGUAGCGGGGGAUAACUAUUGGAAACGAUAGCUAAUACCGCAUAAGAGUAGAUGUUGCAUGACAUUUACUUAAAAGGUGCAAUUGCAUCACUACCAGAUGGACCUGCGUUGUAUUAGCUAGUUGGUGAGGUAACGGCUCACCAAGGCAACGAUACAUAGCCGACCUGAGAGGGUGAUCGGCCACACUGGGACUGAGACACGGCCCAGACUCCUACGGGAGGCAGCAGUAGGGAAUCUUCGGCAAUGGACGGAAGUCUGACCGAGCAACGCCGCGUGAGUGAAGAAGGUUGUCGGAUCGUAAAGCUCUGUUGUAAGAGAAGAACGAGUGUGAGAGUGGAAAGUUCACACUGUGACGGUAGCUUACCAGAAAGGGACGGCUAACUACGUG
This 495-nucleotide ribosomal RNA is filed under the name uncultured bacterium. RNAcentral's name for it is "partial 16S ribosomal RNA". It matches the Rfam family "Bacterial small subunit ribosomal RNA", at positions 28 to 507 of the family's 1533-position model. The record is from RNAcentral.